This 236-nucleotide long non-coding RNA is filed under the name Elaeis guineensis (African oil palm). Its description in RNAcentral is "long non-coding RNA (EGUI_LNC042052)". The record is from RNAcentral. Lineage: Eukaryota; Viridiplantae; Streptophyta; Magnoliopsida; Arecales; Arecaceae.
CUAUUGAAAUUAUCAUUCAUAAUAUGAUGACUCAAUCGAGUCUCUCUAACGAGUGGUUAGGUUGGUCGGUCGAAGUCGGGCCUGAUCAUUUGGUAGUUAGAUUCUGAAAAAAAAUCAAGUUACUAGUUAGACCUAAUCAGGGCUUGCAGAGAAGAUCAAAGUUGACUAAAAAGUUACCUGAGAUAAAAUUAAUUACUAAAAAUUAUUUACUGAAAUAAUUGAUUAAGAACCUACCC